AACGACACGGUGGACGAGAUGAGAAUUCAGAGGCCGCGGUAGAACUCUCGUUAAGGAACUCGGCAAAAUGACCCCGUAACUUCGGGAGAAGGGGUUCCCCGGUAGUGUGAAUAGCUCGAGGGGGCCGCAGUGAAGAGGCCCAAGCGACUGUUUAGCAAAAACACAGGUCUGUGCGAACCCGUAAGUCGAAGUAUACGGUGUGACGCCUGCCCGGUGCUGGAAGGUUAAGUGGAGUGGUUAGGGGCAAGCCGAAGCUAUGGAUUGAAGCCCCAGUAAACGGCGGCCGUAACUAUAACGGUCCUAAG
RNAcentral lists this ribosomal RNA (305 nucleotides) under Sporosarcina pasteurii. Its description in RNAcentral is "bacterial LSU rRNA". It matches the Rfam family "Bacterial large subunit ribosomal RNA", at positions 1653 to 1955 of the family's 2925-position model. Lineage: Bacteria; Bacillati; Bacillota; Bacilli; Caryophanales; Caryophanaceae. The record is from RNAcentral.